This 459-nucleotide ribosomal RNA is filed under the name uncultured bacterium. RNAcentral's name for it is "partial 16S ribosomal RNA". It matches the Rfam family "Bacterial small subunit ribosomal RNA", at positions 338 to 795 of the family's 1533-position model. The record is from RNAcentral.
CCUACGGGCGGCAGCAGUGAGGAAUAUUGGUCACUGGGCGCGAGCCUGAACCAGCCAAGUCGCGUGAGGGAAGACGGUCCUAUGGAUUGUAAACCUCUUUUGUCGGGGAGCAAAAGACGCCACGCGUGGCGUUCCGAGAGUACCCGAAGAAAAAGCAUCGGCUAACUCCGUGCCAGUAGCCGCGGUAAGACGGAGGAUGCGAGCGUUAUCCGGAUUUAUUGGGUUUAACGGGUGCGCAGGCGGAAGAUCAAGUCAGCGGUAAAAAUUCAGGGCUCAACCCUGUCGAGCCGUCGGAACUGGCAGCCUGGAGUGGGCGAGAAGUAUGCGGAAUGCGUGGUGUAGCGGUGAAAUGCAUAGAUAUCACGCAGAACGCCGAUUGCGAAGGCAGCAUACCGGCGCCCGACUGACGCUGAGGCACGAAAGCGUGGGGAUCGAACAGGAUUAGAUACCCUAGUAGUC